AGCUCUAAUAGCGUAUAUUAAAGUUGUUGCAGUUAAAAGCUCGUAGUUGAACUUUGGGUCUGGCUAGGCGGUCCUCCGUAAGGAGCGCACUGCUAGGUCGGAUCUUUCCUUCUGGCGAACUAUUGUGCUAUUCAUUUAGUGCGAUAGGGAACCAGGACUUUUACUUUGAAAAAAUUAGAGUGUUUAAAGCAAGCUUACGCUUGAAUACAUUAGCAUGGAAUAAUAAAAUAGGACUUUGGUUUUAUUUUGUUGGUUUUCAAGACCGAAGUAAUGAUUAAUAGGGUCAGUUGGGGGCAUACGUAUUGCAUCGUCAGAGGUGAAAUUCUUGGAUUGAUGCAAGACGAACAUCUGCGAAAGCAUUUGCCAAGGAUGUUUUCA
RNAcentral lists this ribosomal RNA (378 nucleotides) under uncultured eukaryote. RNAcentral's name for it is "SSU rRNA". It matches the Rfam family "Eukaryotic small subunit ribosomal RNA", at positions 587 to 972 of the family's 1831-position model. The record is from RNAcentral.